UACAGAGGUGGCAAGCGUUGUUCGGAAUUACUGGGCGUAAAGGGCGCGUAGGCGGCCUUCUAAGUCAGACGUGAAAUCCCCCGGCUUAACCUGGGAACUGCGUCUGAUACUGGGAGGCUUGAGUAUGGGAGAGGGAUGUAGAAUUCCAGGUGUAGCGGUGAAAUGCGUAGAUAUCGGAAGGAACAUCAGUGGCGAAGGCGACUUCCUGGACCAAUACUGACGCUCAGGUGCGAAAGCGUGGGGAGCAAACAGG
RNAcentral lists this ribosomal RNA (253 nucleotides) under uncultured bacterium. RNAcentral's name for it is "partial 16S ribosomal RNA". It matches the Rfam family "Bacterial small subunit ribosomal RNA", at positions 524 to 776 of the family's 1533-position model. The record is from RNAcentral.